AGCAGCCGCGGUAAUCCCAGCUCCAAUAGCGUAUAUUAAAGUUGUUGCGGUUAAAAGCUCGUAGUUGAAUUUCGGGAUUGGCGCAUCGGUCGUGCCUCACGGGGUAUGAACUGGUGCAGUCAAUUUCUCACCUUCUGGAGAACCGCGAUGUCCUUAAUUGGAUGCCGCGGGGAACCAGGACCUUUACUUUGAAAAAUUAGAGUGUUUAAAGCAGGCAUUUUUGCUUGAAUACAUUAGCAUGGAAUAAUAAAAUAGGACGGCAUGGUUCUAUCUUGUUGGUUUCUAGGACCACCGUAAUGAUUAAUAGGGAUAGUUGGGGGCAUUAGUAUUCAAUUGUCAGAGGUGAAAUUCUUGGAUUUAUUGAAGACUAACUACUGCGAAAGCAUUUGCCAAGGAUGUUUUCAUUAAUCAAGAACGAAAGUUAGGGAUCGAAGACGAUCAGAUACCGUCGUAGUCUUAACCAUAAACUAUGCCGACUAGGAAUCAGACGAUGUUAAUUUUUUAAUGUACUCGUUUUGGC
RNAcentral lists this unclassified non-coding RNA (520 nucleotides) under uncultured Entrophospora. RNAcentral describes it as "SSU rRNA". It matches the Rfam family "Eukaryotic small subunit ribosomal RNA", at positions 569 to 1085 of the family's 1831-position model. The record is from RNAcentral. Lineage: Eukaryota; Fungi; Glomeromycota; Glomeromycetes; Entrophosporales; Entrophosporaceae.